AAAAAGCCUGAGAGGCUGCACGGCUGCAGGCGUCUCACAGCAGCUCUCCAAAGCCAAGCUCACUGGACGUGACCACCAGGACAAGCCCACGUGACCACGGCGGCCAUUGCCACGUCUUCCAUUCAAGAGGGACCCUGGUUCAGCUUUGCACCGAUUUGCUCAAACAUGACUUGGUAAAGGAUUCCUAGUGGCACAUGCGGGUGCCUGGAUGCACAUGGAGGAUGAGGGCUAUUGGCUCCUGGAGGUUUAAAUGAAGUAGAAAGCAGCAAAUACUUCAUUUCUGUCGCUCAGACUGGCCGAGGCGACUGAAUACGCAAUGGCUCGGGUCAUGCAAUCGCGCACCGCAGCAGUCCAUCCACAGAAAGAUUACAGUCCCAUAAGAGUCCACAAACCGCUGGAUGGGCUGCUCCAAGGCCCCAGAGGAUGGG
This is a long non-coding RNA of Dromaius novaehollandiae (emu), 428 nucleotides long. RefSeq lists it as uncharacterized. The record is from RefSeq and is a predicted model, not a curated record. Lineage: Eukaryota; Metazoa; Chordata; Aves; Casuariiformes; Dromaiidae. The transcript is spliced from 3 exons.